This 77-nucleotide transfer RNA is filed under the name Syntrophomonadaceae bacterium. RNAcentral's name for it is "tRNA-Arg". It matches the Rfam family "tRNA". From Rfam's summary of the family: Transfer RNA (tRNA) molecules are approximately 80 nucleotides in length. Their secondary structure includes four short double-helical elements and three loops (D, anti-codon, and T loops). Further hydrogen bonds mediate the characteristic L-shaped molecular structure. tRNAs have two regions of fundamental functional importance: the anti-codon, which is responsible for specific mRNA codon recognition, and the 3' end, to which the tRNAs corresponding amino acid is attached (by aminoacyl-tRNA synthetases). tRNAs cope with the degeneracy of the genetic code in two manners: having more than one tRNA (with a specific anti-codon) for a particular amino acid; and 'wobble' base-pairing, i.e. permitting non-standard base-pairing at the 3rd anti-codon position. The record is from RNAcentral. Lineage: Bacteria; Bacillati; Bacillota; Clostridia; Eubacteriales; Syntrophomonadaceae.
GCGCCCGUAGCUCAGUAGGAUAGAGCAACGGUUUCCUAAACCGUGGGUCAGGGGUUCGAGUCCCUUCGGGCGCACCA